Podarcis lilfordi (Lilford's wall lizard) is the source of this 73-nucleotide non-coding RNA. Lineage: Eukaryota; Metazoa; Chordata; Lepidosauria; Squamata; Lacertidae. The record is from the annotation of a GenBank genome assembly.
ACUAACAUGGCUCAGUUGGUAGAGCACGAGACUCUUAAUCUCAAGGUCAUGGGCUCAAGCCCUAUGUUGAGCA